RNAcentral lists this ribosomal RNA (503 nucleotides) under uncultured bacterium. RNAcentral describes it as "partial 16S ribosomal RNA". It matches the Rfam family "Bacterial small subunit ribosomal RNA", at positions 28 to 523 of the family's 1533-position model. The record is from RNAcentral.
GAUGAACGCUAGCGGCAGGCCUAACACAUGCAAGCCGAGGGGUAGCAGGAUUAAGCUUGCUUAAUUGCUGACGACCGGCGCACGGGUGCGUAACGCGUAUGCAACCUACCUUAUACUGGGGUAUAGCCCGGAGAAAUUCGGAUUAAUCCCCCAUAGUACUAAUGAAUCGCAUGGUUUAUUAGUUAAAGCAUUGCGGUAUAAGAUGGGCAUGCGUCCUAUUAGCUAGAUGGUGAGGUAACGGCUCACCAUGGCUACGAUAGGUAGGGGGCCUGAGAGGGUGGUCCCCCCCACUGGUACUGAGACACGGACCAGACUCCUGCGGGAGGCAGCAGUGAGGAAUAUUGGUCAAUGGGCGCAAGCCUGAACCGGCCAUGCCGCGUGCAGGAAGAAUGCCCUAUGGGUUGUAAACUGCUUUUAUUUGGGAAUAAACCUCUUUACGUGUAGAGAGCUGAAGGUACCAAAUGAAUAAGCACCGGCUAACUCCGUGCCAGCCGCCGCAGUAA